Molecule: ribosomal RNA, 442 nt
Filed under: uncultured bacterium
Lineage: Bacteria
Description: partial 16S ribosomal RNA
Rfam family: Bacterial small subunit ribosomal RNA
Source: RNAcentral
CCUACGGGUGGCAGCAGUAGGGAAUCUUUCACAAUGGGCGAAAGCCUGAUGGAGCAACGCCGCGUGCAGGAUGAAGGCCUUCGGGUUGUAAACUGCUUUUAUAAGCGAGAAAUAUGAUGGUAACUUAUGAAUAAGGAUCGGCUAACUACGUGCCAGCAGCCGCGGUCAUACGUAGGAUCCGAGCAUUAUCCGGAGUGACUGGGUGUAAAGAGUUGCGUAGGUGGAAUAAUAAGUAGCUAGUGAAAUCUGGUGGCUCAACCAUUCAGACUAUUAGCUAAACUGUUAAGCUCGAGACCGUUAGGGGUAACUGGAAUGUCUAGUGUAGGAGUGAAAUCCGUAGAUAUUAGAAGGAACACCAAUAGCGUAGGCAGGUUGCUGGGACGGUUCUGACACUAAGACACGAAAGCGUAGGGAGCAAACGGGAUUAGAUACCCCAGUAGUC